This 76-nucleotide transfer RNA is filed under the name Candidatus Collierbacteria bacterium CG09_land_8_20_14_0_10_46_12. RNAcentral's name for it is "tRNA-Thr". It matches the Rfam family "tRNA". From Rfam's summary of the family: Transfer RNA (tRNA) molecules are approximately 80 nucleotides in length. Lineage: Bacteria; Candidatus Collieribacteriota. The record is from RNAcentral. RNAcentral also lists the same sequence under 1 other name.
GCCGACGUAGCUCAGUUGGUAGAGCGCAUUCUUGGUAAGAAUGAGGUCUUGGGUUCGAUCCCCAACGUUGGCUCCU